AGAAAAAAUGAAAAAAAAGUGAAGGGAAUGAAAAGUAAAAAAAGAAGAGGAAAAUCUCCAUUCAUUCACCAUUCGAACAUGUGGUGUAUCAACGGUGGUUGUUUCAGUUUAUUUCACGAAAAGGUAUCACUAGUGACAUCUUGGUUUCCUAAUUUGUAUCCCACCUACCUCGGAGUUUGCGUGAUAGUUGUGUUACAAAAUUGAAAAUCAAGAGACACUAAUAACUCCCAGGUAAGUGUGAUAAAAUUCGGAAAUUAAGAUGUCACUAGUACCUCCCAUCAAAAUAAAGGAGGCAAAAGGGAAAACAAAUCUUCAUCCAUUAUGUCGGUUUUGUGUGGUAUCUAUAUGAAAGGUGGUUGCAUAAUUGUCAGAGAAUAUUGAUGGACUAGGAUAGGUUGCCUGAUUGUCGUGUCACAAAUUUAGAGAGGGGGGAAUGCAGGAGCAAAUCUCAAGGUCUAGCUCCCCUUUGUGUUGGAUUGAUGAAGUGUGCACCCUACAGCAUAUUAUAUUGGAGUUGGAGUUGAUACAGAUCAAUCUCCUUGGAAGAUGAAGGUUAGCACAAGCUUUGUUUGGUUCAAGCAGUCUUCUGCCACUGAAACAACCACAUGAGAAAGUAGCGGUUUCAUUUGUUCCAAGCACUUCUGUGCUAAUGCAGAAUUAUUCUUGAACUGCAAGGUGCACACCAGUGAUUAUACUUGGAUAUUAGUUUAUUUUGCAAAUCCCUUGUAACAUUCUUAAUGACUUGAUUUAUAUUUUUCCUGUACUGCAGUGAAAGAAACCUACCUUAAGUCCUUAACCAGGAAUUGCUGUGGUGAAUAUGCAAUCAGGCCAAUCCCUUUCACACU
This is a long non-coding RNA of Hordeum vulgare subsp. vulgare (domesticated barley), 845 nucleotides long. RefSeq lists it as uncharacterized. The transcript has 2 exons. The record is from RefSeq and is a predicted model, not a curated record. Lineage: Eukaryota; Viridiplantae; Streptophyta; Magnoliopsida; Poales; Poaceae.